AUACGGAGGGUGCAAGCGUUGUUCGGAAUCACUGGGCGUAAAGGGCGCGCAGGCGGUUUGGUAAGUCAGAUGUGAAAGCCCACGGCUCAACCGUGGAAGUGCAUUUGAAACUGUCAGACUUGAGUACUAGAGGGGAAAGUGGAAUUCCCGGUGUAGAGGUGAAAUUCGUAGAUAUCGGGAGGAAUACCGGUGGCGAAGGCGACUUUCUGGCUUGAUACUGACGCUGAGGCGCGAAAGCGUGGGGAGCGAACAGGAUUAGAAACCCUAGUAGUCC
Molecule: ribosomal RNA, 274 nt
Filed under: uncultured bacterium
Lineage: Bacteria
Description: partial 16S ribosomal RNA
Rfam family: Bacterial small subunit ribosomal RNA
Source: RNAcentral